GUCUAUGGCCGUAGCACCUGGACAGGCCUGAUCUCAUCUGGUCUCAGAAGCUAGGGAGAGUUGGGUCUGGUUAGUACUUGGAUGGGAGAAUUUCAGACAGGGACU
This 105-nucleotide ribosomal RNA is filed under the name Mesocricetus auratus (golden hamster). The record is from RNAcentral. Lineage: Eukaryota; Metazoa; Chordata; Mammalia; Rodentia; Cricetidae.